This is a non-coding RNA of Carica papaya (papaya), 841 nucleotides long. NCBI's taxonomy places the organism in Eukaryota, Viridiplantae, Streptophyta, Magnoliopsida, Brassicales, Caricaceae. The record is from RefSeq and is a predicted model, not a curated record.
AGCUUCUUGAUGAUAACGAGCAUCUUCUCAGUAUCAGGAUUGUUGGUGGGGAUCACAGGCUAAGGAACUAUUCUUCGAUAAUUUCACUACAUCCAGAGAUCAUUGAUGGAAGGCCUGGAACUCUGGUGAUUGAAUCGUUUGUGGUGGAUGUGCCUGAAGGGAAUACCAAGGAUGAGACGUGCUACUUUGUUGAAGCUUUGAUCAAGUGCAACCUCAAAUCACUUGCUGAUAUCUCAGAGCGGCUUGCGGUGCAAGAUCGUACUGAGCCCAUUGACCGGAUGUGAAAAGUGGAUUUCAUUUGGUUUAGGUGGAGGGCUUGGAUUGCCGUGGAUGAAGCUUCCGGGGCUUUCGUAUCUCGGAGGCUAUGGAGUCAGACUGGCAGUAAAAACUACUUCCAUCUUCGUGAUAUAAUUUGCUCUUUUUCUUUCAUUCCCGUUUUUAUGUUAUCUGUCUUCGCUUUAAAAACUAUGUGCUGGAUUGUCCUCAUUUUUAGUAGCUCAAGAACCACAGCUGUUAUAAAAUUCUCUUUCUAAGAAUGAAAAAAAAAAAUGGGAAAAAAAGAAAGAAAAAAUAGGUUCUCCUAUUCUGUCGUUUCCAAGUUUUGUCCCUGGUGGUAUCUCCUAUUGUCUGUGUAUAUACAUAUAUAUAUAUGUUAUAUAUAUAGAUAUAAAAUAUGCUGGGAAUAGUUCAUUUUUGUGUAAAUUUUGCACCUUGUAUUGUAGUCCCGAGGUUCCUGUGGCAGACAUUUGGUUGCAGUGAAACUGUAGGGUAGCUUUACAUUUCAAGUCACUUUGUAAUUACUAUGUUCGGUACUAAACUAAUUUUAUCUUUGUUUUAAUUA